CCAAUGUUUUGGAGUAGGAUCUAGGAAACCUGCUGUAAUCUCUGGAGGAGAGGCUUGUCCUGCUUAGGAUCCAGCAGGUUUUAUCUUUUGCGUUAGAGGAGCAUUCAAAUAAUUUAAUGGUGGAUAUUCUCAUCCCUCAUCUGCCAGCAGAGUUGUUUUUGUGGCUCUAAUGCUUCCCUGACCUCAAUGAUGUCUCCUGUGAGUGCGUUGCUCAGGUUAAUUAUGCAUUAAGUUUACAUAAGGCUUUUCUGUUUUUAAUCAGUUCCAAACCCGCCGCCCUGGGCUGUGCUGGAUGCGCCGGCACUCGGCAGCUAUCGGGGGGCUUGCAGGAGGGCUGCAUCCACCUUCCCACCCUGCCAGGUCUCAUCCUCCCCCUGGGGUGGCUCCUCUGUUUGUCACCGUGCUGCACAACACUCCUGAGACGUGUGGCUCUGUUGUCACCCGCACAGCAUCUCCGACACCCGCUGCAGUCACACGGCACCGCGAGGGGAGCUGACGGCUGCUGGAUUGAGCUCGCUCGUACUCAGCUCCCUUUCCUUCUCCACGGCUGGAGAAGUGUGUGUGUACCCUGGGAGAGGCUUGGGAGCUGCUGUCUUUCCUCAGACAGUCUUUCCCACGUGGCCUGUAGCCAGCUGUUGGCAGCGAUGGCCAAGUCCUUGCUCUUCUGCAGGUGGUGUAUUGUGAAGGAGAGAGUGGGUAAGGAAUGCAAAUCAAAACCAAACCAUGCGCUUUGCCAUCUUCUUUGUUGUUUUUUUUUUUCCCUUUAAGAAGCUCAAUAUAUCAGCUAAUCGUGUGUGUAAACAAUCUCAAUAUGCAAACUGAAAAGUGGCAUCAUCCCCCCAGCGCCAGCUGGGUUGAGCUCCCCCAUUAACCUCUCCAGAGCAAAAAACCCUUCCCGAACAGCCAUUUCGGAGUGUGCAAAAUUGAUUUUGCAUUCGGCCUCCGCAGUGGGAGAAGAUGGCGGCGUCGAGCCGCGGGUGCCUUUCCCCUCCCUUGUCAUUUUUUUGGGAUAUCCUCUUUUCCUGGCGAUGGAGGACGGGCGUGGCUGGUGCCGGCAGGUCCCCCCGACGCCUUCUCCUGAGCAAAAACAAUAAAAACCAAAUUUACGGCA
Molecule: long non-coding RNA, 1111 nt
Filed under: Cyanistes caeruleus (blue tit)
Lineage: Eukaryota; Metazoa; Chordata; Aves; Passeriformes; Paridae
Description: lncRNA (ENSCCEG00000011063.1)
Source: RNAcentral